RNAcentral lists this ribosomal RNA (50 nucleotides) under Lodderomyces parapsilosis. RNAcentral describes it as "Candida parapsilosis partial 28S ribosomal RNA". The record is from RNAcentral. Lineage: Eukaryota; Fungi; Ascomycota; Pichiomycetes; Serinales; Debaryomycetaceae.
CGACCUCAAAUCAGGUAGGACUACCCGCUGAACUUAAGCAUAUCAAUAAG